UGGUUCGUAGCUCAGUUGGUUAGAGCGCUACCUUGACAUGGUAGAGGUCGCCGGUUCGAAUCCAGUCGAACCAACCA
RNAcentral lists this transfer RNA (77 nucleotides) under Oligoflexia bacterium. RNAcentral describes it as "tRNA-Val". It matches the Rfam family "tRNA". Rfam says of the family: Transfer RNA (tRNA) molecules are approximately 80 nucleotides in length. Lineage: Bacteria; Pseudomonadati; Bdellovibrionota; Oligoflexia. The record is from RNAcentral.